AUUGAACGCUGGCGGCAGGCUUAACACAUGCAAGUCGAGCGGGGUGAUGGUGCUUGCACUAUCACUUAGCGGCGGACGGGUGAGUAAUGCUUAGGAAUCUGCCUAUUAGUGGGGGACAACAUCUCGAAAGGGAUGCUAAUACCGCAUACGUCCUACGGGAGAAAGCAGGGGAUCACUUGUGACCUUGCGCUAAUAGAUGAGCCUAAGUCGGAUUAGCUAGUUGGUGGGGUAAAGGCCUACCAAGGCGACGAUCUGUAGCGGGUCUGAGAGGAUGAUCCGCCACACUGGGACUGAGACACGGCCCAGACUCCUACGGGAGGCAGCAGUGGGGAAUAUUGGACAAUGGGGGGAACCCUGAUCCAGCCAUGCCGCGUGUGUGAAGAAGGCCUUUUGGUUGUAAAGCACUUUAAGCGAGGAGGAGGCUCUUUUGGUUAAUACCCAAGAUGAGUGGACGUUACUCGCAGAAUAAGCACCGGCUAACUCUGUGCCAGCCGCCGCGGUAA
This 503-nucleotide ribosomal RNA is filed under the name uncultured bacterium. RNAcentral's name for it is "partial 16S ribosomal RNA". It matches the Rfam family "Bacterial small subunit ribosomal RNA", at positions 30 to 523 of the family's 1533-position model. The record is from RNAcentral.